Molecule: small nuclear RNA, 116 nt
Filed under: Aotus nancymaae (Ma's night monkey)
Lineage: Eukaryota; Metazoa; Chordata; Mammalia; Primates; Aotidae
Description: U5 spliceosomal RNA (ENSANAG00000010410.1)
Rfam family: U5 spliceosomal RNA
About the family: U5 RNA is a component of both types of known spliceosome. The precise function of this molecule is unknown, though it is known that the 5' loop is required for splice site selection and p220 binding, and that both the 3' stem-loop and the Sm site are important for Sm protein binding and cap methylation.
Source: Rfam by way of RNAcentral
AUACUCUAGUUUCUCUUCAAAUCAUAUAACUCUUUCGCCUUUUACCAAAGAUUUCCAUGGAGAGGAACAAUUCUGAGUCUGAAUCCAAUUUUUUGAGGCCUAGCUUUUGCAGGGCG